AAAUAAGAAGCAAUAAAUUGCAUCUAAUUUCGACCUAGAAGUAUGACAAAUAGUCCUUAUUUA
This 63-nucleotide transfer RNA is filed under the name Cryptocephalus cynarae. RNAcentral describes it as "tRNA-Arg". The record is from RNAcentral. Lineage: Eukaryota; Metazoa; Arthropoda; Insecta; Coleoptera; Chrysomelidae.